GGACGAAUAGCUCAGUGGUAGAGCGAAAGAUUGCAGAUCUUUAGGUCACGAGUUCGAACCUCGUUUCGUCCU
Molecule: transfer RNA, 72 nt
Filed under: Gaeumannomyces tritici R3-111a-1
Lineage: Eukaryota; Fungi; Ascomycota; Sordariomycetes; Magnaporthales; Magnaporthaceae
Also listed under: 1 other name
Description: tRNA-Cys (GCA) (tRNA-Cys-GCA-1-1)
Rfam family: tRNA
About the family: Transfer RNA (tRNA) molecules are approximately 80 nucleotides in length. Their secondary structure includes four short double-helical elements and three loops (D, anti-codon, and T loops).
Source: RNAcentral